Molecule: long non-coding RNA, 2065 nt
Organism: Alexandromys fortis (reed vole)
Lineage: Eukaryota; Metazoa; Chordata; Mammalia; Rodentia; Cricetidae
Exons: 4
Source: RefSeq, a predicted model, not a curated record
CAUGAUUCUCCCACUCCAGACAGACGCAGGUUAAGAUCCUCCCUGAACCCAGGACCACUAGCCUAAGGAUGGCUCCACCCACCAUGGCUGGGCCCUCCUCCAUUGAUCACUAAUUGAGAAAAUGCCUUACAGUUGGGUCUCAUGGAGGCUUUUCCUCAACUGAGGUUCCUUCCUCUCUGAUGACUCUAGUUUGUCAAGUUGACACAAAACCAGGCAGUACAGGAUCACGAGAGACCAAGACAGACUUUGAAGAAGUUGUCAAAAUCAACAGCACAUGCCAAGGGACUGUGGCACAAGGGUCCUUGGUGGCCAUGAAGAACGCUAAGCCUGUGCAACCAAAGCGCAGAGAGAAAAGCAUAGGCCGGACUCUGGGGCCUUCACGUCCAUAGGAUGGAUUCCAGUUUUCUCCCUCUCUCCACCCCAUCUCCCUUUCUCUCUCACACACACACAAUUUUUGUAAUAAAAAAAAAUUUAAACUUUCGUCCAGGCCCCUUGGAGCACAAACUCCCUGGCCUGGCACCCUGCCAGCAGUUCUCCAGGGAACCCAUCCCAGCUGAUCCUUGCUCCCGGACCCAAGUUAUCCAUGUCAGGGUGAACCUGAGCCAGGACUGACUGGGCCCUAAAUCCUGGAAAAUAUCAGGACCACUUCUUUCCUGACGACCCUCCCAAACCUGUAGGGUCCUCCCCUCCAGUCCCUGGGGGAUUCCCUACUGGGAUAUCCUGAUAGGUUAAACACAACCUUUCUGUCCAGAGUAGCUGCUGUGCAGCCUGACCCCUUUCCUUUAAGCCUGCAGGGUUGGUCCUCUCAUCUGUGAAAUGGGGAUAUUCGUCAUUCCAUAAUAUGGUCUGGGCCUCCUUCCUUAAGGAGGUCUGGGUUCCGGGUCACACCAGGCACUGCCCUAUUGGCAGGAACAGAGGCAACCGAGGGGCCCCUGCUUGAAUACCCAAGGUCCCCUCCCCACCUCCAUCAUUUUCUAUCAGCCCCAUUUGUUUCCUCCACAACCGUUUCCAGUCUCCAUGAUGAGCCCAACAGGCAGAUCCACUCCAUAACCCUUGUUGGUGCAGGGGAGCCAUGCAGGAUGGGGAUGGGCGGGUCAGCUCGGCUGUAACGAGAAAGAGCCCGAGCUGCUGGUCACUUCAUUCGCUGAGACUCCAAGCAAGAUUUCUGGCUGGCUCCUCCUUGGAGCAGACUCCCAAUAGGGAUGAGUUCCAGAUCUUUCCAUCGGAGAUGCUGCUUCCUUGUCCUGUGGCUCAGCUUCAGAGGAGAGGGCUCCCUGGCCACUGCAGUCCCUCCAGGCCUCUGUGGUCCUUCCUUCAACUUUCCUUCGGAGGCCAGACCAUCUCCGUGUGUACACAACUAAGCCUGGGGUUGACUGUAUCGUCACUCAGAGUCACCAGUCAGCACCAAGUGCCCAGCCAUGCUCAGUCAGAGGAAACAAGCAAGUUUCUCAGCCACGUUCCUCAUCUGAAAAAGCCAUGAGAUCACAUGUGAGUAACGCCAGGCUAGAACCCAUGGACCAGAGCCAAGCCAACUAUCAGCAACAGUGCAGGCCACCGACUCAGGAGAAGCCUCACAUGACAAGCCAACCAGAACUUCCAUUUCUCGAAGAUACAUGCGUUCAGUGUCCCGGGCUUCCCCCAGAGGAGCUGUUGUGUCCAUCAGCAAGCUUGCAGAGCAGACCCAGUGCCCAUCACAGCAGCUGCUUGGUGUAGGCCACCCUUCCACCCUCCCAGCAGACUCACAGGAAAAGCAAACACAAGGAUCCCGUCAUUCAUGCAUCAACUCUACAGACAGUGGAGAGUGAAAGGGGCCUGGGGUCAGUUCUGGGGACCCACUGCCUGUGGGAUGUGAGGACUCACUAGUGGGUUAUCCUACAGCCGUAACGGCUGGCCAGCUGCUAAAGCUGCCUGGCUUCAGAAGAUGGAGGAGUGCCGUCGUCGCGUCUGUGUGGACUCACUAGCAAGGCGAAGAUGCAUCUCGUACAAUCCACCCCGCCAGAUUCCCGCUAUUUAUCUCAAUAAACGCCAGGGAGCCUCUCUCUCUCCUUGCUGUAAAAUGCUCAUA